Molecule: ribosomal RNA, 429 nt
Filed under: uncultured bacterium
Lineage: Bacteria
Description: bacterial SSU rRNA
Rfam family: Bacterial small subunit ribosomal RNA
Source: RNAcentral
GAUGAACGCUAGCGGCAGGCUUAACACAUGCAAGUCGAGGGGUAGAGGAAGCUUGCUUCCUUGAGACCGGCGCACGGGUGCGUAACGCGUAUACAAUCUACCUUUUACAGAGGGAUAGCCCCAGAGAAAUUUGGAUUAAUACCUCAUAGUAUUUUCGGAUCGCAUGAUUUGAUUAUUAAAGUUCCAACGGUAAAGAUGAGUAUGCGUCCCAUUAGCUAGAUGGUAAGGUAACGGCUUACCAUGGCAAUGAUGGGUAGGGGUCCUGAGAGGGAGAUCCCCCACACUGGUACUGAGACACGGACCAGACUCCUACGGGAGGCAGCAGUGGGGAAUUUUGGACAAUGGGCGCAAGCCUGAUCCAGCAAUGCCGCGUGCAGGAUGAAGGCCUUCGGUGUAAACGUAGCUUUUGUACGGACGAAACGGUGAGCU